UAGGGAAUCUUCCACAAUGGACGCAAGUCUGAUGGAGCAACGCCGCGUGAGUGAAGAAGGUCUUCGGAUCGUAAAGCUCUGUUGUUGGUGAAGAAGGAUAGAGGCAGUAACUGGUCUUUAUUUGACGGUAAUCAACCAGAAAGUCACGGCUAACUACGUGCCAGCAGCCGCGGUAAUACGUAGGUGGCAAGCGUUGUCCGGAUUUAUUGGGCGUAAAGCGAGCGCAGGCGGAAUGAUAAGUCUGAUGUGAAAGCCCACGGCUCAACCGUGGAACUGCAUCGGAAACUGUCAUUCUUGAGUGCAGAAGAGGAGAGUGGAACUCCAUGUGUAGCGGUGGAAUGCGUAGAUAUAUGGAAGAACACCAGUGGCGAAGGCAGGCUCUCUGGUCUGCAACUGACGCUGAGGCUCGAAAGCAUGGGUAGCGAACAGGAUUAGAUACCCUGGUAGUCCAUGCCGUAAACGAUGAGCGCUAGGUGUUGGGGACUUUCCGGUCCUCAGUGCCGCAGCAAACGCAUUAAGCGCUCCGCCUGGGGAGUACGACCGCAAGGUUGAA
RNAcentral lists this ribosomal RNA (553 nucleotides) under uncultured bacterium. Its description in RNAcentral is "partial 16S ribosomal RNA". It matches the Rfam family "Bacterial small subunit ribosomal RNA", at positions 355 to 898 of the family's 1533-position model. The record is from RNAcentral.